UACGUAGGGUGCAAGCGUUAAUCGGAAUUACUGGGCGUAAAGCGUGCGCAGGCGGUUUUGUAAGUUUGUCGUGAAAGCCCCGGGCUCAACCUGGGAAUGGCGAUGAAGACUGCAAGGCUUGAAUCUGGCAGAGGGGGGUAGAAUUCCACGUGUAGCAGUGAAAUGCGUAGAGAUGUGGAGGAAUACCGAUGGCGAAGGCAGCCCCCUGGGUCAAGAUUGACGCUCAUGCACGAAAGCGUGGGGAGCAAACAGG
This 253-nucleotide ribosomal RNA is filed under the name uncultured bacterium. RNAcentral describes it as "partial 16S ribosomal RNA". It matches the Rfam family "Bacterial small subunit ribosomal RNA", at positions 524 to 776 of the family's 1533-position model. The record is from RNAcentral.